GACGAACGCUGGCGGCGCGCCUAAUACAUGCAAGUCGAGCGAGAAGACGUAGCAAUACGUUUGUAAAGCGGCGAACGGGUGAGGAAUACAUGGGUAACCUACCCUCGAGUGGGGAAUAACUAGCCGAAAGGUUAGCUAAUACCGCGUACGCUCCUUGGACUUCGGUUCAGGGAGGAAAGCGAUACCGUGGGUAUCGCGCUCUUGGAUGGGCUCAUGUCCUAUCAGCUUGUUGGUGAGGAACGGCUCACCAAGGCUUCGACGGGUAGCUGGUCUGAGAGGACGAUCAGCCACACUGGCACUGCGACACGGCCCAGACUCCUACGGGAGGCAGCAGUGGGGAAUAUUGGACAAUGGGCGCAAGCCUGAUCCAGCGAUGCCGCGUGGGUGAAGAAGGCCCUAGGGUUGUAAAACCCCUUUCAGCGGGGAAGAUAAUGACGGUACCCGCAGAAGAAGUCCCGGCUAACUCCGUGCCAGCCGCCGCCGUAAG
RNAcentral lists this ribosomal RNA (487 nucleotides) under uncultured bacterium. RNAcentral describes it as "bacterial SSU rRNA". It matches the Rfam family "Bacterial small subunit ribosomal RNA", at positions 28 to 524 of the family's 1533-position model. The record is from RNAcentral.